GCCGAUGUAGUGUAGUGGCCUAGCACGCAAGCCUGUCGCGCUUGCAACCCGGGUUCGAAUCCCGGCAUCGGCG
Molecule: transfer RNA, 73 nt
Filed under: Candidatus Woesearchaeota archaeon
Lineage: Archaea; Nanobdellati; Candidatus Woesearchaeota
Also listed under: 1 other name
Description: tRNA-Asp
Rfam family: tRNA
About the family: Transfer RNA (tRNA) molecules are approximately 80 nucleotides in length. Their secondary structure includes four short double-helical elements and three loops (D, anti-codon, and T loops). Further hydrogen bonds mediate the characteristic L-shaped molecular structure. tRNAs have two regions of fundamental functional importance: the anti-codon, which is responsible for specific mRNA codon recognition, and the 3' end, to which the tRNAs corresponding amino acid is attached (by aminoacyl-tRNA synthetases). tRNAs cope with the degeneracy of the genetic code in two manners: having more than one tRNA (with a specific anti-codon) for a particular amino acid; and 'wobble' base-pairing, i.e. permitting non-standard base-pairing at the 3rd anti-codon position.
Source: RNAcentral